Zingiber officinale is the source of this 1983-nucleotide long non-coding RNA. RefSeq lists it as uncharacterized. Lineage: Eukaryota; Viridiplantae; Streptophyta; Magnoliopsida; Zingiberales; Zingiberaceae. The transcript is spliced from 7 exons. The record is from RefSeq and is a predicted model, not a curated record.
CACUCGCCGUCGUCCUCUCUUUUCUCGGUCCAUAUUCUUCGCUCGCGCUUCAGCUUUUCUUCCUCCUUCGCUUUAGGGUUUGAUCUCAUCUUCGGCGAUGGAUGCCUCGUGGUUCCAGGCUUUGGAAGUGGGUUUGGAGUACUGAUAUGACGAUUUCUGCGGACUGCAAUAAUGGAUCGUGCGUUUUCUGCUGUUGGCAGAUAUGCUUAUUUGACAACGAGAGAGAGCACGCCGGUCCAUGAUCAUGGCCGCCGCCAUGGCUGUGUGUACCAGCGUGCUCUUUCUCGUUGUCAACUGGGCGGCUUGCCUUCUUGCGUGAUCGACCAUCUUCUUGGCCCAGGCUCCAGUGCAGGGAUUGAAGUGCCUGAUCAGUGCAUUAAGUAGUUGACAAAAAAAAUUAUGCUUUGGAAAGAAAAUCAGUUGAUUUGGAAAGUAUGAGUUCGCAGUUGGUUUGCUGUGUUUUGGAAAGAAAAUCAUGGUACAUUCAUUGUUGCUGAUUUAUCUUAAGGCAGAAGUGAAAGGGUCAAGGAACUUGAGGAAAUUAGAUUGAACUAUUAGUGAGGUUUACUGAUGGGCCCCCAAGGUAUCCUGUAUCUCUAUAGUGCUAACCUUCAUUACGAAGGAAACAUACUAAUUGUCAUUGUUCUAUCAAGACUAAUAACCAUGAUAGAUGGAAAGACUAACCCAAAUUAUGUCAUCUUGCGGCAUCCCAAUGGAUGUUUCCACCAGUUUCCACCAAGAUGAUUGCUGUUACUUAGAGACAAACUCUGAAGCAACAGAAAGAAGGAGCUGAGGAGCAGGUUUGAUCAGUAGGUAGCUGUGAGAACUAUGCAAUGUAUAAUCUAUCAAAUCAAGAUCUGAAUUCUCAGAGAUAGGUAAAGCAUGAACAUCUAUGUAGAGAGAAAUAAUGAUUAAGCAGUCAUGAGUCCUCCACAUGAGCAACUUCAAGCAGCUUGGGACAAACCAGAAAAGAUGGAUGUGCUACUUAGCAGGAAACAACCAGAAAAGAUGGACAAACCUGAUAUUUCUAAAAUGCACGACCUAUUACUGAAGCUCAAAUCCAUGAUAUUUCAUUAUGAUUUUCUGGGUUUACAAUCUAAAUAGGGCAGGCCAAAGACGUCUGUCAAUUUCUAUUAUGCUUUUGGGGGCUUAACUACAAGCUUGACGAGGGAAAAAUAAGAUGCCUCAAGACCAGGGACCAAGUGAUCCAUUACGGACAAUUGCAUCCGAUGUUUGAUCCGAUGUUUGGGCCAGCACACGGUCGUUCUCCUCAACAGUCAGAGCUGGGACUGAGGGGGACAGCAACUCAGAAUCUCCAACCCAAUUGUUCAAUGUGUGAAUCCCUUUAACAUCCAUGCCAAUGUGACUUACAUGUUGCACAUCCAUUGGGAGCCCAAUCUCCAUCUCCACCUCGUCCUCCCUCUCCAGAGCAAACAGCUGAGCAAAACUCCUGAUCAGCCUCUGAAGGGCUGCAGAUAUGUUGUGUCUCGGCAUAGGAGGAAACCCAAGUGAGUUCUUCAUCCUUGAUCCUUUCUAUGAUCUAUUCGUCUUUCCCUUGUAGGAGAAAAAUUCCAUUAAUCAAACUCUGAAGGUUGAUGCAAUGUAAGGCAUGAGAACUUACUGUGCGAUGGUUGAAAGGAAUUAGAUCUGUGGUUGGUUGCUACCUACUUGUUACUGAUAGCAGGGGCAUUUGUGAGCUCAGUUGUGUUUCUGGGGUACUCUAAUCCUUUUGCUGGCCUUAGAAGCAAAUGAAGAUUUUGAAGACUUCAAAUCGUUUAGGUGCGUAUUCCACUGAUCUUUUUUCUCACGUUAGGAUUUAAAAAAAAAAAUGAAGAUCACACAAAGGAUGUAUAACAUGACAAAAGAUAUGCAUAUGUAAUUUUAUUGUUCUUUCUUAUCUCCCUCCUUCUCUUUCCAAGUUGAUGGAGUUUAAAUGUAUUUCCCUUGAAUGCCCACAUGAAGAUGCCAAGUAUUCAUGAACCA